CAGGCCUAACAAGAACAUUAAUAAAUAUCUACAAUAUAAGAAUCAAGCUACAACCAUAACCGCUGGUGAUCCACUGUAGGACUUAUCAGAAAUUGGUAUUCGAGGAGAAGAACUACAGGAUUUCCCGCUCCACAAAAAAAAAACAUUUUCUGAGUCAAUACUGCUUUAUGGAAAUCAUUCUCCGUAUAAUAGAUUAACCGAUGAAUGAGACAGAAAGAGAGGGUUGAAGUUAAUUUUGAUCCUGGUACUGAAAAAAAUCAAAUCGUCUAUCAAGGUACUCUUUGCUGUUGACUUUACGCCUUCGACAAUUUUACAGUCAAUUGAGGAACACUGGUUGCCACGUGUUUUGGUUUUAUCAGUUAGUCCCUUUACACUCCAGUACAUCGUAAUGCCUGAAGGAAGCACAAAGGUGCUUCUUUAUUUUCUGAAAACGGACGCAAUGUGUUGCAAUUACUAAAAAAAGGAUUUAUAACAAUUGAUUGGAUUAGCCAACCGUUCAGGCUGAUUAUACUGAAACAACCAAUGUCUACAAUGAUGUCGACUUUGCUGGACUUGCUUAUUGAUUUGCCGUUUCCGUCUUCAUUGUGCAACAUCAUGCAGAUAAUUUUCAACCUUCGAGUGAAAGCAACCAGAGGUACAUGAGGGUACACUGCGAGUAGAGAAAUGAACAGGAUAUUGACCCACAAAUGAGAAGGAAAUGCAGUUAACUUUGAUGCUACUGAAACAACCGAUGCUUUUGACGUCUUCAUCUUGCAACAUUAUGCAGUUAAUUUUUGCUGUAACAAUGGGAGGCAAUUGGAAAUUAAUUAACUUGGAAGCGAGGGACAAAAAAUUGCUUGCUGUGGUAUCCCUCCUAGAUUGGUUUGCUCAUCACACUGAUAGACUUUAGAACGCCAGUUUCUACAAUUAAUUGAGGUUAUACAACAAACGGGAGAGAAUUAAUGUUCAGUUUGGUUAUACUGAAACAGCCAAUACUACUUGGGUGUGGUCUUUCGUGGAUUAUAUUCUUCAUUUGCUGUUUCGUCUUCGCCUUGUAACAUCAUACAGUUAAUUUUCAACCCAUGAGUGAGAGCCACUGGAUAUUUACUUGAAUUCCACUGAAAUAACUUCUCUGCUACAGUGUUCCUCCUGGAGUUAGUUUGCUUUGACACCUGUAAACUUUGGAACGUUACGUUCUACAAUUAAUUAAGGUGAGAAUAAUUGAUAUAAUUAAUUUUAAUUG
RNAcentral lists this long non-coding RNA (1222 nucleotides) under Agrilus planipennis (emerald ash borer). RNAcentral's name for it is "uncharacterized LOC108744995, transcript variant X1". Lineage: Eukaryota; Metazoa; Arthropoda; Insecta; Coleoptera; Buprestidae. The record is from RNAcentral.